Molecule: long non-coding RNA, 1582 nt
Organism: Sorex fumeus (smoky shrew)
Lineage: Eukaryota; Metazoa; Chordata; Mammalia; Eulipotyphla; Soricidae
Exons: 6
Source: RefSeq, a predicted model, not a curated record
GGAUAUGUGUAGGGGUUCUCUUCGCCCUUGGACAAGCCCAUGUUUUCUCUUGAGCACACUACUCUCUCUCUCUCUCAAUAAAAUUUGUUUUUCUUCAAAAAAAAAAAUAGACAUCACAGGCAGAUCUAGGGUAGUGGGUUCCAUCCCCAGGGAAGAAAAAGUACAGAGGCCCCAAAGAAAUAAACUGAAGACUAGUGUUGGUUGCUGAGCCUGCUGGGUACAAGGAGCAGGUGGGAAAGGAAGCCAGAACUGGGGCAGGAACUGGAAGCCACUUUGGGGCAGAUCCUGGGCAGCUGAUUGAGUGACUGACAACUGCUCUCUGGGCCUUCUCAGUGGAUUCCAGAAUGAUCGCCACCCACAGAACCCACUGUCUAUGCACCUCUGCCUCUGUGGUUCUGGAGCAGGCCCUGGGAGAGACUGAUCCAGCCACUGCGACCCGCAGCCCAUAGGUCCUGAUUUUUGAGAGUUAUUACACAGCGACAGAAGUGAAAGUGUGGCACCCAGGCAAGAGAGCUACUACAGCCGAUAAGGAACUCACCUUGCACAUGGCUGCCCAAGUUUGAUCCCUCGCACACUGUCAGGAGUAAGCCUGAGGACUACCAGGUCUGAGAGAACCUGGGCCCUCCAUGACAUAAAUUUCUUUCACGUUCCUUGUCUCAGUGCCUCCGACUGAACAAACAUUUAUGCAACAUCUGGCGCCCAAGCAUGUAUGCCCAAAGUCUGAAGAGUCAGAAGAGGCUCCUCCGUAUGAGCCUGGUCCUUUGUUCCCAGAGAGGAUGACAAAGAACGUUUCUGGUGUCCCACCAAAAGGCUCAAACUUCUCCAUGAAUCUGAUCAAGAAGAAAUAGAUGAAACAGCUAUGAAAAAUUUCAGAUGAAAAAACUUUUGGAUUAAUGAUCUGAAUCUGGACCAGAAUGCACUCCCUCAGGCUAGAUGCCUUCCAAUAACACUGCAAGAGGUGACUCCAAGAUAGGCAGAAGUUAGGGCCCUGAUGAACCGAGCUGAGAAGAGCCUGAGUAGAUGUUUGAAUGCUGGUGCCUUUUCAUCGACCAUGGAAGGAGAAUUCAACGACUGGAGUGCGUUGUCAACUGAUCAUCUAUCUCCUUCGAUGGAUCAAGAGAUUCCUUGGCCUGCUCAAUCGCUGCUAUCAUGGGGAUCAUUGCAGUGACAAUAACAACUGCCAUGGCAGACUUAGCUCUAAAGCAAAGAACGUAGACUGUGGAAUUCCUCCAGAAAUGGCGUGAGACCUUUGGGAAAUUAUGGACUACUCAAGGACAAAUUGACUCCAAACUGCAGUGUGAAUUGGCUGAUGUGCCUAGAAAUGUUACUUUGCUUGGUGAGUAUUUAGCUAGUCUCCGCUGUCAGAUGUCUUUAAAAUGGGAUUGGAAUACUGCUUUACUCUGUAUAACACUUAUGCUAUAUAAUGUGACUGAGUUCUCAUGGAAUAAGGUUAAAAAACAUCUCAAUGCAUAAGGAAAUAAUAGCUAGAAUACUGGAUUUGUAAAUUCAUGGUACCAUUUCACUCAGGAAGCACUUCCUGUAUUCUCCUCUUUUGUUACUAGCCCCAAUAUCACAAAACUGU